This 497-nucleotide ribosomal RNA is filed under the name uncultured bacterium. Its description in RNAcentral is "partial 16S ribosomal RNA". It matches the Rfam family "Bacterial small subunit ribosomal RNA", at positions 28 to 507 of the family's 1533-position model. The record is from RNAcentral.
GACGAACGCUGGCGGCGUGCCUAAUACAUGCAAGUUGAGCGCUGAAGGUUGGUACUUGUACCAACUGGACGAGCAGCGAACGGGUGAGUAACGCGUGGGGAAUCUGCCUUUGAGCGGGGGACAACAUUUGGAAACGAAUGCUAAUACCGCAUAAAAACUUUAAACACAAGUUUUAAGUUUGAAAGAUGCAAUUGCAUCACUCAAAGAUGAUCCCGCGUUGUAUUAGCUAGUUGGUGAGGUAAAGGCUCACCAAGGCGAUGAUACAUAGCCGACCUGAGAGGGUGAUCGGCCACAUUGGGACUGAGACACGGCCCAAACUCCUACGGGAGGCAGCAGUAGGGAAUCUUCGGCAAUGGACGAAAGUCUGACCGAGCAACGCCGCGUGAGUGAAGAAGGUUUUCGGAUCGUAAAACUCUGUUGGUAGAGAAGAACGUUGGUGAGAGUGGAAAGCUCAUCAAGUGACGGUAACUACCCAGAAAGGGACGGCUAACUACGUG